This is a non-coding RNA of Oryctolagus cuniculus (rabbit), 2251 nucleotides long. The record is from RefSeq and is a predicted model, not a curated record. Lineage: Eukaryota; Metazoa; Chordata; Mammalia; Lagomorpha; Leporidae.
CUGUCCCCAUUGCUGGGACAUCUGUUUCAGCAGAAAUGGGACGAUGAGGCCGCAGAGGACCUGCCCUGCCCUGUUCCGAGGGCUUUCGCUGACACAUGAGAAAGCCAUUUGCACAGCAGCAAUCAGAAGGCGUGGUGAUAGGGCGGGGGCGUGGCCCCAGCUCGCCCUCCGAUGGGAAGACCAGGGGAGCCCCACAUGGCAAGGAGGCCCUGCCGGCCCCUCCUGUGCUUUCUGGAACUCCCUGGGGCUCCCUGGUGACCGGUCACUCACCAAGGUACCUGGAUAGCCACUCAGUCCUCCCUCCCAAUCCCUGAGGUUCCUGGGCACAUGGCCAUGUUCACGGUGACACCAGACAAUGACCAAUGACUCGAGGUUUUGGCCCUGUGAUCUCCAGGCCCUGGAAUGAGGAGAGGCUCUCUCUCUGCCUACCUCCUCUUCUGCAAGCCUCAGUCGCUCCAUCGGUGACAUGGGAACGAUGACUCUUCCCUCAAAUGGCUGAGGCUGCGGAGACGAUGCACCUGUAACAGCGCGAUGCCCGCCACACCCAGUGCUCUGUCAGCCAUCGCUGUGAGGACGGAUGAGUGGGGCAUCUUCGUAUUGCAUGAUUUUUUGGACAUGAAGUCCUGGAAGCUGAGACGGGAGCCAGGGCGGGAGAAGUCAGCACCCGAGCACCUUCGGGAGUUUUCGGCUGAGAGGGGGCAGGCGGGAGCCUCCUGCUGUGACCUCCUGGUGCGCAUCUGCAGAAAUGCACUGAACUGAGCCCUUCCUAUUCGUGCACGUGACCGAACAUAAGUUACACCUCUACGCAAAGCCCAGACAAAGGUCAAGACGGAGACGUGCUGCCAAAGCCUCUAUCUGCAGGAUAAGCGAGAGCCGGCCUGUGAGGAGGGGGAAGGCAGCCUGGAGGCGGAGCCGGCAGGUGCAAAGGCCCUGAGGCGGGGGUGCUGCCUCUCCUCUAGGCUCUGGUCUCCUCUGAUGGUGCCCCAAACCAGGAUUCUCCUGGCCUCUUCCCAUGCAUUUGUGGGUUUCCACGAAGGCCUUGGGACAGGAUGCUAGAGUCGUUUCAGCAGCUGUGUCGUCAGCCUGUGUUUGAACGCCCUGCCUGUGAGCUGUCGCUGGAGGAGCUACGGCCCAGAGGGGGAUGGAAUCUGCACUCAGAGCUCAGCUGCGCCAGCACCCGCGUGUGCUUAGCUAAGCCCCUUCUCCCUCCUGUCCCUCAGCUUCCUCUUCUGGCAGAGGGGUCUCUCGUCUAUGGGGUUUUAGUUCAGAGUUGGGGUGAAGGUCUGAAGGCCAGGGCCGCCCAGAACCUGCGGCCCUUCAAAGCCACCCAGCAGGGCCCCACUGGGGGUCUGCUCACCUGCCACGUGGAGUUCGAGCCACCACGCCCACAGUGCCUGGCACAUACCUGGAGUCCCAGGGAUGUUGGCUCGUGGCGCUCAGCACUUGCUCCAUGCCAAGCUCACCCCUCACCCCCGUGUGACCCUGCCAACUACUACCUCCCAUUUUACAGUGAGAGAGACUGAGGCACAGAGAUUGAGUGAGCAGGUCACGUGGUUCACAAUCACUGACGGAGCCUGGCUGUGGCUUCCCUGUUCCUAACCGCACCUGCCCUACAGCCAGAGUCCACGGUGCUGCCCAGGCUGGCCUUCCUGGAGCUUCCUCCACUGGGAGACCUAGAGAAGGUGCUGGAAGCAAUUGGGGCUCUUCCAGGGCUGCUGACCGAGAUCGGCGCCGUCAGGGCAGCCAGUGGGACAGGCUGGCGCCUCGGCUUCGCUGGAAUCCACGCCCUUUUCAAGGAAGGUGAACCCACCCAGGAUAAUUGCAGUGCCAACCGGCGGCUUAGGCGGCUCGUAAGCCCAGAGGUGUCCGUGGAGGAUGAGGCCCUGCCACGUGCACGCGUCACCUUUGCCAGGGCUUUUCUGGCUGGUACUGGCAUCAUUGUUUUUUUUGGUAGGGAGGAGGCAGGGGAUUAAUCUGCAGCCGCAGCAGCCGUGGACUUGCAGCCACUCCCUUCCUCUGUACCACCAUGUUUCACUGAUCUCAUUCUGUUCACCAUGCAGAAACCUGAUGGAAUGUUCUAGAAACUCCAGCCCCAGGCUGAGGAUGGGGGAUACACUCAAGGUUCCUGGAAAGGAGUCCUGGGUGUGGGAUGCUUUUUUACCCAACCUGUUUUUUUUCUACAUUUAUAGACUGUUUACAUUUGCUUAAGCAAAAAUACAAAAAAAAAAAAAACCGAGGAGAAAAAUUAUGG